CCUACGGGAGGCAGCAGUAAGGAAUAUUGGGCAAUGGACGCAAGUCUGACCCAGCCAUGCCGCGUGGAGGAUGAAGGUCCUCUGGAUUGUAAACUUCUUUUAUCUGAGAAGAAAUCCAGGAAUUCUUUCCUGGUUGACGGUACCAGAUGAAUAAGCACCGGCUAACUCCGUGCCAGCAGCCGCGGUAAUACGGAGGGUGCAAGCGUUAUCCGGAUUCACUGGGUUUAAAGGGUGCGUAGGUGGACUGGUAAGUCCGUGGUGAAAUCCCCGAGCUUAACUCGGGAACUGCCGUGGAUACUAUCAGUCUUGAAUAUCGCGUAGGUAAGCGGAAUAUGUCAUGUAGCGGUGAAAUGCUUAGAUAUGACAUAGAACACCAAUUGCGAAGGCAGCUUACUUCACGAUUAUUGACACUGAGGCACGAAAGCGUGGGGAGCAAACAG
Molecule: ribosomal RNA, 440 nt
Filed under: uncultured bacterium
Lineage: Bacteria
Description: bacterial SSU rRNA
Rfam family: Bacterial small subunit ribosomal RNA
Source: RNAcentral